UACGAGGGGUGCAAGCGUUGUUCGGAAUUACUGGGCGUAAAGCGUGAGGAGGCGGCUUGUUAAGUCUGAUGUGAAAGCCCUGGGCUCAACCUGGGAACGGCAUUGGAAACUGGCUUACUAGAGUGCGGUAGAGGGGUGUGGAAUUCCCGGUGUAGCAGUGAAAUGCGUAGAUAUCGGGAGGAACAUCUGUGGCGAAGGCGACGCCCUGGACCAGCACUGACACUGAGGCACGAAAGCGUGGGGAGCAAACAGG
This 253-nucleotide ribosomal RNA is filed under the name uncultured bacterium. RNAcentral's name for it is "partial 16S ribosomal RNA". It matches the Rfam family "Bacterial small subunit ribosomal RNA", at positions 524 to 776 of the family's 1533-position model. The record is from RNAcentral.